This 493-nucleotide ribosomal RNA is filed under the name uncultured bacterium. Its description in RNAcentral is "partial 16S ribosomal RNA". It matches the Rfam family "Bacterial small subunit ribosomal RNA", at positions 28 to 507 of the family's 1533-position model. The record is from RNAcentral.
GACGAACGCUGGCGGCGUGCUUAACACAUGCAAGUCGAACGGUGAAGGGACCGGUUUUUGCUGGUUCUGGAUGAGUGGCGAACGGGUGAGUAACACGUGAGUAACCUGCCCCCUUCUUCUGGAUAACCGCAUGAAAGUGUGGCUAAUACGGGAUAUUCUGCGCCUGCUGCAUGGUGGGUGUGGGAAAGAUAUUGUUUCGGUGGGGGAUGGGCUCGCGGCCUAUCAGCUUGUUGGUGGGGUGAUGGCCUACCAAGGCGGUGACGGGUAGCCGGCCUGAGAGGGUGGACGGUCACACUGGGACUGAGACACGGCCCGGACUCCUACGGGAGGCAGCAGUGGGGAAUAUUGCGCAAUGGGCGCAAGCCUGAUGCAGCGACGCCGCGUGAGGGAUGGAGGCCUUCGGGUUGUAAACCUCUUUCGCCAGUGAAGCAGGCCUGUCCCUUUUGUGGGUGGGUUGACGGUAGCUGGAUAAGAAGCGCCGGCUAACUACGUG